CUCGGCGCAGGCUCCUCCGGCUCCGCCAGCCCGGCCGGGCGCAGAGGAAACGCGGCUGCCAGGGCGCCGUCGCGGCGGGAGGCGAGAGCGCGGGGAAGGGGCUCCUACUCACCCGGGCCGCCGCCGCCGCCGCCACCGCCACCACCGCCGCUUGGGCGGCCCAUCCCCGCGGCGGGGGCCUGUCGCCGCGCCGCGCCGCGUCGCUCCAGUCCCCACCGCCCGCCGGGCCGGCCCCUCCCCCUGCCCAACGUCUGCGCUCUGGGCCGAUCCUCAGACCCGGCCUCGGCCGCCGCCGCCGCCGCCGCCGCAGCGCUACGUGGCCGCCGCUCCGACGUCUCGCGACUCCCUUCCGAGCGCGCGAGGCCGAGCGGGGCCGCGGAGCGGGCGGCGCGCGGGGCGGGCGGCGGGGGAGGGGGUGUGCUGUAGGGAUGUCGUGCGCGAAGGGGGCAGGGAGGCCGGCGGGAGCGCGCGCGCGCGCACGCCCCUGCACGCGCCCCCCCUCCCCCCCGCGCGGUCGGGAUCCCGACACCUCCCCCCCUACACACCCCAUCCCCGGCUAUGGGGGUCGGCGCGCAUGCGCGGCCCUCGGCUCGGCCUGGGCGCACCUUUUCUCCCUCCUGCCACAAUGUGAGCGCUCAGCCGAGCAGAUAACCGCCGGCUGCCUGCUCCACCCCCGGCCCUUGCCCACUCCGCCCACUCCCGAGCGCCCAGAGGAUGCUGACUGCAGGGAUGGAGGAACUUUUUCUACUGCAGAAGAACAAUGUGGUGCCUAUGGGAACAUGCCAUGUGACCAUUCUCUAUUCCUCCCAGCAAGGCACGCUGGGUGAUGUGAAGAACCCAGGAAGGAAAGCUGGAGGAGAGCAUGGUGGGUGGCAGAGCGGGAUUUGGGGAAGCCCUGAGCCCUGCUCCAUCUGACCCUCAGUACAUCUGUCUCCGUCACUGUCUACCUGCCCUGCUCACGCGUGCCCCUCACUCACCCCAUGGCAACAGGCCUAUCUUUCCCCCAACAUCAAAAGAGCUAUUUCAGUGACUGUCGCUGUACCUGGCCCAUAGCCUCUAGUCUAUAUAUGUCUGUCAAAUGAAUUGGCUAUAAACAUGAAAAGGUUUCUCCUG
This 1113-nucleotide long non-coding RNA is filed under the name Mus spicilegus (steppe mouse). Its description in RNAcentral is "lncRNA (ENSMSIG00000019387.1)". The record is from RNAcentral. Lineage: Eukaryota; Metazoa; Chordata; Mammalia; Rodentia; Muridae.